Molecule: ribosomal RNA, 497 nt
Filed under: uncultured bacterium
Lineage: Bacteria
Description: partial 16S ribosomal RNA
Rfam family: Bacterial small subunit ribosomal RNA
Source: RNAcentral
GAUGAACGCUGGCGGCGUGCCUAAUACAUGCGAGUCAAGCGAACAGACGAGGAGCUUGCUCCUCUGACGUUACCGGCGGACGGGUGAGUAACACGUGGAUAACCUACCUAUAAGACUGGGAUAACUUCGGGAAACCGGAGCUAAUACCGGAUAAUAUAUUGAACCGCAUGGUUCAAUAGUGAAAGACGGUUUUGCUGUCACUUAUAGAUGGAUCCGCGCCGCAUUAGCUAGUUGGUAAGGUAACGGCUUACCAAGGCAACGAUGCGUAGCCGACCUGAGAGGGUGAUCGGCCACACUGGAACUGAGACACGGUCCAGACUCCUACGGGAGGCAGCAGUAGGGAAUCUUCCGCAAUGGGCGAAAGCCUGACGGAGCAACGCCGCGUGAGUGAUGAAGGUCUUCGGAUCGUAAAACUCUGUUAUUAGGGAAGAACAAAUGUGUAAGUAACUAUGCACGUCUUGACGGUACCUAAUCAGAAAGCCACGGCUAACUACGUG